This 242-nucleotide ribosomal RNA is filed under the name uncultured Lactobacillus sp. RNAcentral describes it as "partial 16S ribosomal RNA". It matches the Rfam family "Bacterial small subunit ribosomal RNA", at positions 120 to 355 of the family's 1533-position model. The record is from RNAcentral. Lineage: Bacteria; Bacillati; Bacillota; Bacilli; Lactobacillales; Lactobacillaceae.
GGGAACCUGCCCCAUAGUCUGGGAUACCACUUGGAAACAGGUGCUAAUACCGGAUAAGAAAGCGGAUCGCAUGAUCAGCUUUUAAAAGGCGGCGUAAGCUGUCGCUAUGGGAUGGCCCCGCGGUGCAUUAGCUAGUUGGUAAGGUAAAGGCUUACCAAGGCGAUGAUGCAUAGCCGAGUUGAGAGACUGAUCGGCCACAUUGGGACUGAGACACGGCCCAAACUCCUACGGGAGGCAGCAGC